AUAUCAUUCAUUGCCCUUCUCUCUUCAUAUACAGUGCCACAUUGCAACUCCUCUGCAGAUGUACCUGAUCUGUAAGUCUUUCCUAUGCAUUUUAGAACUUACUGUCUUAUUGUCAGUUCUCUGGACUAGAGGGAGUUUCCCUGGGCCUACUUGUUGAUUCCUGUCCUUGAAUUUGAGGCAUUUGCCACCAGGUGGCAGUAGCAGAAGGAGUCAUCCUAUUUGAAUUGACAAUGAAGAUGCUUAGACCUGUACUGAUCCAGCACUAUCUUCUAUUUUUUUAAAAAUGAGAGAAUGUGUGUGUGUGUGUGUGUGUGUGUAAUAUAGAUAAUAUAUGUAUAUAUAUUAUACACAAAUAUAUACAGUGUAUAUAUAUUUAUUAUAUAUUUGUUUAAAAAGUCUAGGAAGCUCUAAGAUAUGAUUUAAUAAAUAUUGUGUUAGAAACUUAAGAAUAACUAGAAAAAGGAAAAUAAAACAACUUGAUAUUUUUCAUUCUUUAUUUACAAGUUUAAUUAGAAUCACAGAGUAUGGGUGCAUUUAAUGUUGAAUGAAAAUAAUUGUUUUGUGUAGAGAGUUUCUGCCUUCUUGAAAACAAGAAAAUGUGUGCCCCAGUUUGGGCCUGUAAGAAGAAAAGUGUCACUAUGGUUAUGGUAUGAUCAUUCCUGUGCUGACUGCAAAGGGUGCAACACUGUUCCUCAGAAUCAUUAGUAAAGUAAACAUUUAUUUUUUCCUCCUGUGACCAUAUGAACAGACUUUAGAAUCUAUUAAGGCAGUAUCUGCAGUUAUUUAAGAAAACAGUCACCUCAGUAGAUUUUAAUAAUUCUAUUUAAUUUAGUUGAGGGGAAGAAGGGCUUUCUCAUGUGGACAAUGUUAAAAUCCUGCCCAAUUCCAAGCCCACAAUUUAAUACUGGAUUAUGGCCAUCUUUGCAGAAAGCCUGCAUAGGACCAGUCUCAGUGGUGUACGCCUGUUAUUCCAGUGGCUCACAAGGCUGAGGCAGGAGGAUCACAAGUUUAAAGCUAGUCUCAGCAAUUUAGAGACCCUGAGCAACUUGUUGGGGCCUCGUGGCUCAGUGGUAAAGUGCUCCUGGGUUCAAUACCCAGUUUCUUCCACCCCCACCCCCACAAAAAAAGCAUGCAGAGGGAUUUUCUUUUAACAUCAAUCCUGGACCCUAGGAUCCAGUGGGGGAAGGAGACAGAGUAGGCACUUCCUUUCAUUGCUUUUGGUGUUGAAGUGAAAGUGAGCACAGAAAUAAAAUUGCUACAUGUGUAAAGUCAAAGGCCAUAUUUCUUACCUUCUGUAGGACCUUUAGGAGAGUAUCUAUUGAAGCCUUCUCUGGUUUCUACUUAGUAUUUUAUAUAUUUGCCUGUAAAAGUAAUUUAGGCUAUUAGUUCUCUGGCUGUUCUUGAAGUGGGACACACUGUUUUUUUUUUUUUUUUUGUCUCAAAACUGUACUUGCACUUCUAGAAGCAGAGCCAAACUCUGAGCAGUAAAGAGAAAUAGCUUAGCUAUGGGGGAAUUAAUCUUUUUAAUUAAAAUAUUUCUAGGAACUAAUUAAGAAACCUUAGCUGUGUCUUAAGAUUUCUUAAUUACUUCUUGGGAAUUUUAAAAUUUGUUCUUUAAUUAGUUAUAUGUGACAGUAGAAUAUAUGUUGACAUAUAUUUUAGUCAGCUUUUUCACUGCUGUAACUAAAGGAUCUGACUAGCACAAUGGAAGGUGAGAAAAAGUUUAUUUGAGGGCUCACGGUUUCAGAGAUCUUAGUCCAGAGAAGGCCCACUCUCUUCCUCAGGGCUUGAGGUGAGGCAUAACAUCAUGGCGAAGUGUGAGGCAGAGAGAAGCAGCUCACAUCAUAGUGGUCAAGAAACAGAAAGAGAGAGAGACUCCAGCGCCAGAUACAAAAUAUAUAUCCCAUAGCCACGCUCCCAAUUAACCACCUUCUCCAGCCACACCCCAUCUGCCUCUAGUUACCAUUCAGUUAAUCCCAUCAGGGAUUAAUUCACUGAUUGGAUUAAGACUUUUACAGUCAAAUAAUCUCUCUGAACCUUCUUGCAUUGUCUCACACAUGAGCUUUUGGGGAACACCUCACAUCCAAACCACAACAUAUUAUACAUAUAUGGAGUAUAACUUCCCAUUCCUCUGAUUGUACAUGGUGUGAAUUAUAUUGGUCAUGUAUUCAUAUAUGUAUAUAGGAAAUUAAUGUCUGAUUCAUUCUAUAUAUCUUUCCUAUUUCCAUUACCAACCCUUCUAUUCUUUCCUCACCUCCCCUUAUUGUAUGUUAGCAUCUGCAUAUCAGAGAGAACAUUUGGCUUUUGAGGUUUUGGAGAUUGGCUUAUUUCACUUAAUAUGACAUUCUCCAAUUCUAUCCAUUUACUGGCAAAUGCCAUAAUUUCAUUCUCCUUUAUGGCAGACUAAUAUUCCAUUGUGUAUAUAUACCACAUUUAAAAAAUCUGUUCAUCUGUUCAAGGGCACCUAGGUUGGUUCCAUAGCUUAGCUAUUAUGACUUUACCUGCUAUAAAUAUUGAUGUGGCUGUCACUGUAACAUGUUGAUUUUUAAGUCUUUUUAAGUGAUUUUAAGUCUAAACUGAGGAGUAGAAUAACUGAGUCAAAUCAUGGUUCUAUUCCAGGCUUUCUGAGGAAUCUGCAUACUGCUUUCCAGAGUGUUUGAAACAAUUUGCGUCCCACCAGCAAUGUAUGAGUGUACCUUUCCACCCACAUUCUCGCGAACAUUUUUUGUUAUUUGUAUUCUUGAUAAUUGGAGAUGAAAUCUGAGUGUUGUUUUAAUUUUCAUUUCUCUAAUUGAUAGAGAUGAUGAACAUUUUUCUCAUAUAUUUGUUGACUGAUCAUAUUUCUUCUUCUGUGAAGUAUCUGUUCAGUUCCUUUGCCCAUGUAUUGAUUGGGUUAUUUUAUUUUUUUGGUGUUAAGUUUUUUGAGUUCUUUAUAUAUCCUGGAGAUUAAUGCUUGAUCUGAGGUGCAGGAGGCAAAGAUUUUCUCCCAUUAUAUAGGCUCUCUUUUCCCAUUGUUGAUUGUUUCCUUUGUGAAGAAGCUUUUUAGUUUGAUACCAUCCCACUUACUGAUUCCUGAUUUUACUUUUUUCACUUUAGGAGUCUUGUUGAAGAAUUCAGUUCCUAAGCUGACAUGAUGGUGAUUUGGGCCUCCUUUUCCUUCUAGUAGGUGCAGGGUCUCUGGUCUAAUGCCUAGGUCCUUGAUCCACUUUGAAUAGAAAUGGUGAAAGAGGGCAUCCUUGUGUUUCUCCGUUUUUAGUGGGAAUGCUUUCAAUUUUUCUCCAUUUAGAAUGAUGUUGGCCUUGGGUUUAGCAUAUAUAGCUUUUAUGAUGUUGAGGUAUGUCCUACUAUCUCUACUUUUUAUAGUGUUUUGAACAUGAAGGGGUGCUAUAUUUUGUCAAAUGCUUUUUUUGCAUCUAUUGAGAUGAUCAUAUGAUUCUUGUCUUUAGAUCUAUUGAUGUGAUGAAUUAUGUUUAUUGAUUUCUGUAUGUUGAGCCUACUUUGCAUCCCUGGGAUGAACCCCACUUGAUCAUGUUGCACUACCUUUUUCUAGGCAAUGUACCAAUAUUUUAUUAAGAAUUUUUGCAGCUAUUCCCACAUGAUGGAGAUUAGGGCCUAUUUUUUCUUCUAUUAGAUGCAGGAUCUCUAAUUUUAUUCUUAAGUCCUUGAUACAUUUUGAGUUGAUUUUGUGCAUGGUAUGAGAUAGGGGUCUAAUUUCACUUUGUUGCAUAUGGAUUUCCAAGCACCAUUUAUUGAAGAAGCUAUCUUUUUUCCAUUGCAUGUUUUUGGCACCUUUGUCUAAUAUAAGAUAAUUGUAAUAUAGUGGGUUAGUCUCUGUGUCCUCUAUUCUGUACCAUUGGUCUACCACUCUGUUUUGGUGCCAAUACUAUGCUGUUUUUGUUACUAUUGCUCUGUAGUAUAGUUUAAGGUCUGGUAUAGUGAUGUCACCUGCUUCACUCUUCCUGCUAAGGAUUGCUUUAGCUAUUCUGGGUCUCUUAUUUUUCCAGAUGAAUUUCAUGAUUGCUUUUUCUAUUUCUAUGAGGAAUGUCAUUGGGAUUUUGAUUGGAAUUGCAUUAAAUCUGCUCAUCAGGGAUAUUGAUGAAAUUUUCUUUCCUUGAUGUGUUUUCAUCUGAUUUUGAUAGCAGGGUAAUACUAGCUUCAUAGAAUGAGUUUAUAAGGGUUAUCUCCUUUUUCUAUUUUGUGGAAUAAUUUGAGGAGGAUUGUUGUUAGUUUUUCUUUGAAGUUCUGGUAGAACUCAGCUGGGAAUCUAUCUGUUCCUGGGCUUUUCUUUGUUGGUUUGAAGUUGUCUCCAAUUUCAUUGCUUGAAAUUUAUCUGUUUAAAUAGUCUAUGUACUCCUGAUUUAAUUUGGAUAGGUCAUAUGUCUCUAGAAAUUUGUCAUCAUCUUCAAGAUUUUUUGUUUUAUUGGAGUAUAAAUUUUCAAAAGAGUUUCUGAUUGUUAUCUGUAUUUCAAUAAUGUAAGCACUCCUUUCAUUACAUCCUACAUCUUUUGAUAAUAUAUUGUUUAAGUCUCCUUCAGUUAAAAUAUUUUUUAAAUAUUUAAAAAUUUUCUUGAGAUUUUUUUCUUUGACUCAUGUAUUAUUUAUUAGAAGUGUAUUGUUUAAUCUCCAAAUACACUGGGAUUUUCCAGUUAUGUUUCUAAAUUGAUUUCUAGUUCAAUUUAUUUGUGGUCUGAAAGCAGACAUUGUUAUUUUUACUUUAAAAAAUUUGCCAAUAUAUAUUUUAUUGUCCAGAAUGUGGUCUUUCUUUGUUAAUCCCCCCAUUUCCUACUUCCAUCCAUAUUGUUUCUUUGAAAAACCAUCUUAACCCACUUAAUGUAUAAUAUAUGUUAUGUUUGUUUUUUUUAUGUUAAAUUUGCUUUUUCUGGGAUUGUUAGCAUGUAAAUUAAUUUUUCAAUUAAUCAAUUAUUACUUUUUUGAGGCAAGUUCUCACUAUGUUGCUUAGGCUGGUCUUUAACUCCUGAGCUCAAGUGAUAUUUGGUCUUGUACAGCUGGGACUGCAUGCUUGUGUCACAGUGCCUGGUAUUGCAUAUCAUUAUUUCACUGCAUAUAAUUUUAAUAUUUAUAUAAACAAUAUUGUAUUUUACUUCUUUCUUGCUUUUCUCACUAAACACCAUAACUCUAAGCUACAUUACUUAUAGGUAAUUCUAUUGAUGCAAUGUCUUCAAUACAAUUGAUCUAUUUACUUUACCAAUGGUGGACACAUAGUUUAUCUCUGAUUUUCUUUCAAUAAAAACAGUGUAUAUCUUUUUACAUGACCUCUACUGGGACUGAGAAUGCUUUUGGGGUCCAUGCCCCAGUCAGAAAUUGCCAGGUCCUGUGGAAACAUAGACUUAUUUCUUGUUAAGUAAUGUCUUCCUGCUUUACAGAACAGCCACAGUUCAUGAGGGUUCUUAAAUCCCAACCUCCUCAGUAAUGCAUGUUAUCACCAAGCUUUUUAAUUUUUGCCAGGCUUAUAGAUGUAAGAAGAUAUUUCACUGUUUUAAUUUGCACUUCUAUGUUUAGCAAUUGGUUUGAGAACCUGUUAAUGUGAUUGGUGGUACUUCAGGCCUUUUCUUCCAUAAAUUGAAUGUUCUACAUGCCUUUUCCAUUUUUUUUUUUCUGAUAAUGUUGAUGUCUUUUUUGGGGGGCAGGCCCAAAAUGGCUAAAAUUAGGCUCCCUUGCUGAGGCUUUAGGCAGGAUUUGCUAUGUUUUAUGUUAUGUUUGUAGUAUGUAGCCAAGGCCAUGAAUUGGCUAUAUUAUGCAGUCAAGGUCAGAAACACUGAUUCAAUGCAUAUACUCAAGGACAUAAACACUUGCUUGGGAGUAUACCCUCACUAAUGUAACCUGUUGGCAGUGUGCCAUCUUUAUUUGGCCUGCAUAUAAAAAGGGCCUAUGGGAAAGACUUGUGGGCUAAUAGGGGACAAAAUGGAUCUGACUGGGGACUAAAGCUUGAGACUGUUGCCACCUCUGAAUAAAGCAUUUCACUAUCCUGUAUCUUACAUCUUAUACCACCUGCUGAGCCCUGAACCUUCUUUCCUGGGUCUACCCCUACCCCCCAACAUGACACUUGUGAUUUGCUGGAGUUUAUCAUGUGUGCUAUUUGGAUAUAAAAUGCUCUCCCAUUUUGUUGUAUUUAUUCUCCCACUGCGUUAUUUGGCUAUUAAAUCUAUCACUUUUAUCCUUUGCUGAAGAAAACUCAUAUUUGUGUAUAAUAAAAAUCCAUUAUUUCUUUGCUUUAUGAUUUCUUACCUACAAAUAAACAGAUAUAUUUUCUACAUUUAAUUCUAUUUAGAGAGGAUCUAUAGUGGUAGAGAUCUCAUUUCAUACUGAAAAAGUUCUGGAGAAAAUGAGGAGAGAACUACUUAGGUAUGGUGCUCUUAAUAGCCCUUUGAUUCAACUUCUUUUCAGGUUAAAAAAUAAAAAAACUGUAUUUUUCUGAUUUUCUUGCAGGUAGCACCUUAGAAAUUAGCUUCCAUUAAUUAAAUGUAUUUGUGUGAAAUUUUAAAGGUGGGAGUUGGAGGUUCUCCCCCUCCAGUGUAAUCAGAAUCACCUGAGGGCUUGUUAAAACAAAUUGCUGGACUCUACCCAGUAAUUCAGUAGGUGUGGAGUAGCAUCUGAAGAUCUGCAUUUCUAUCAUAUUUCUGGGUGAUGCUUAUUCCAGGAUUCUGUCAUUUAUAUUCCAGUGUCAUGUUGUGAGAAGUAUUCUUCAUGGUUGCUGCAGUGAUAGAGGAAGCUGGAGCUUCCUGACUUCUAGGUCAUAUCUACCUAGAUAUGGAAUCACUCUGGGGGCUCCCUCACACCUUCUCUAGUGACUCAAAAGCUAUGAGCAUGUAAUUCUAUGCAUUGAUUCCCUUUCUGCCUGAGACAACUAUUUAUUACCAUUUCCCAUAUUAAACCACUAUUUUUUUUUACAAUUGUAUAUCCAAAAUUGUUCUAAAUGACAAAGAGGACGCCCAUAAAUCCUUUACCCCAUCUUGGUUAAAACAAGUAUCUUUGAUACUAUUAUAAGCACUUAGGGAAUGAACCAUGUCUCAUGGCAAUUGGAUUCACUGAGUGAGGUUGGCUGUAGAUCAAUGGUUUAGGCAGCAAAACAGAGUUUACAGCAAUGUGUGUCCUAGAGUGGCCAGCCAAUCUGGUUUAUGUGGGACUAAGGAUUUUCCCAGGAUGUGGGGCUUCCACUGUUAAAACUGAGAGAGUCAUUCUGGUGUAAUAUUUUGCUAACUUGAAGAUGUUGCAAAUAAAGACAAAGAGGUUUAGACAGGUUACAAAAGGAGGGGUGUUGAGAAAUUAUUAUCUGGAGGCAUUUGAAAUUGGAAGAACAUAGAUAGGGGAGUCUUAGUAGACUAUUGAAAGGGACUAUCAGCUUAAACUGAAGGGGACAAUGUGUGAGAGCCCGGAGUGCAGGCUCUCUAGUCACUGAGGCUGAAGUCUGACUUAUGUUACUUAUCAUCUGUGGGACCUCAAGCAGGUUACUAAACCAAGUUUCUAUAUCUAUAUAGUAAGGCCACCACAGUAUGUAUCUGUGAUAAGAUGCCAUUGAAACAGAACAGAAAGCACUGAGAAGAUUUGCAUGGCCGAGAGUAAGCACCAAAACAUGCUAAUGGUGGUAUUAUUAUUGUUGCUGCUACUAAAAAAAUUACAUAAAGGAAUCAGAAAUUCUUGGGUAGAAAUAUUAUAGAGGAGUAGAAGAGAGGAAAGGGAGCAAUCUGGAUUAGAAAAUGACUGAGUAUCACUAGUUGGUCCCUUUAAAUUCAAUUCUCUUUACCUUAAAUGUUCUCAGGUGCCCCAAAGGAAUUGAAUAAUAUUUUCUAUGUUGAAUGUAGUAAGAUCAUGAGUGACUCUCACACUCAAUAUUGGAAAUUUAAUUUUUGUUAACUUAGAAUUAAUGAAAAUAAUGUUUAAUGAAGGGCUCAAGGUAGAGCAAAUGGAUCUCACAAGAAAGAAUAUGAACUUGAAAAUUGGAUAAUUUCAAACAAAACGAGAGAAGAGAGGAAGGGAAGAAAUGGAAAGAAGGAGAGAAGGCACUCUCUCAACCACAUUGAGAAGUGAUUGUUUCCCAUCUCAAUUGGGUAGGCNNNNNNNNNNNNNNNNNNNNNNNNNNNNNNAGAAAGAAUAUGAACUUGAAAAUUGGAUAAUUUCAAACAAAACGAGAGAAGAGAGGAAGGGAAGAAAUGGAAAGAAGGAGAGAAGGCACUCUCUCAACCACAUAGAGAAGUGAUUGUUUCCCAUCUCAAUUGGGUAGGCAUGCAGAGGGCAUCCUUCUGAUAUUUAUAACAACUUGUUUUUAUAUUGAGAAGAACAGUUACAUUGCAUCAAAAGAGUUUCCUCCUCAGUGUCUUCUGCAGGGCAGCCUUUACCUCCUUGUUCCUCAGGCUGUAGAUCAGAGGGUUGAGCANGCCAUUUCUCUGGGUGGGAGGCCUUUGAGGAUGGUAAAGAAGAACCUGUGAGAGGCUGCCUCUGCACAGCCUGGGGAAGCUUGUUUUCUGCAUUUGGUGUCUGUUGAGCCAUCCUGUCUGUGGCCUAUAUAACUUCCCCUCACUCCUGCUGUUUGGUGAGUGAAGGGACAGCUCCUGAGUAUUUCAGAGAUCUUGAAGAUGAGAGGAAAGGGACCAAGAUCUGUUAUCUGUUUACCUGUUUCUCAAAUAUUUAGAACUCUGGUUCUCAAAGUGUCAUCCCUGGGGGUUGGGGUUGUGGCUCAGCAGUAGAGUGCUUGCCUAACAUGGUGUGAGGCCCUGGACUUGAUCCUCAGCACCAUAUAAAUAAAUAAAUAAAUAAAUAAAUAAAUAAAUAAAUAAAUAAAUAAAAUAAAAUUAUUAUGUCCAAUUACAACUAAAAAUAAAUAAAUAAAUAAAAAGUGUCAUUCCUGGACCAUCAACUUCACCUUCUCCUGAAACUUAUAGAGAUGCAAAUUCUCAGCUUUCAUUCCAGAGAUAUUAAAUCAGGAACUCUGAAAGCUGCUGGACAAUUUAUGUUCAACUAUCUCUCUAGGGACAUUCCUGCACACUGAAGUUUGAGAAUCUCCACCCCAUAUGCAAUAAAUUGCAUAUUUCAAAUUUUCCAUGUGCAGAUGGAAUUUACUUCAGAAGUGAAAUUUCACUAUCAUUUAUGCAAUUCCUAAACAGUCAUGAAUAGAUAAAUGAAUGUUCUCUGAACUCAAUACAAAGUCAGUCAGGGUGAUAUGGUAGUUAUACGUGUAUUAUUGAAUUACUUAAUCAAUUUCUCUGAAAGAUGAAGAAAGUAGCAAAAUCAAAUCCAAAGGUGACUUUAUUGAAAAGAACAUGGGAUAAUGUGUUUGGAAAUCUUAUUUUAAAUACUUGGUUCCUAUAAGAUUGUGAGUUGUUUUAAGUGUGUGGAAUUUGUUCAUAGACACCAGACCCAAGAUCCUAAGGCUAUAGUUCUCAAGACAUCUAAAACAUUUAAAGGUAUUAAUACUUGCUAUCCACAGAAGUUAUGAUAUAAUUGAACUGUGCUUCAUUUUUGGCACUGGCAUAUUGUAUUGCCAUAGUAAGUGCUUUAUAGUUUAUUACUAUUUAUAUUUAUAAUAUCAAAACGUAUCAGUGUUACAUCCCAAAUAGGAAAGUGGUCAAACUGUAGACAUGUCUUUAGGAAGCAUGGAUCAUAAUUUAUGUAUACAGCAUCUUUUUUUUUUCUUUUUAUCAAUUUCAUUGGCCUUGAAGGUUUUUUUUUCAUUUGUUCUUUUUAGGUAUACAUGACAAUAGAUGUGUUUUUUUUUUUUUUGGUUGAAAAACUUAAAUUCUCACUAUUUAUUUUUUCUGAUAUAAUCAUUACCUUUUGUAUAAUGCUCUAUAGUUUACACGUUUCUUUCAAAGGUCAAUGUCAUUAAGUCCUAAAAGUUUUGGGUAAGGGCAAAUGUGUUUAGUAAAGGAUAUUUCCUGCCAUUUCUAUAUUGAGAAGACAAUAUAAAAUUCAGGUCAGAUACUGACUUGCUCAAGGCCUACUAGUUAUUGAUGACUUGAAAUCAAAAAUGUACUCAUGUUCUUUCUUGCUCAUGAGCUUCUUCCCUUUCCUCCCACAGGUCGUUUUCUGAAUCUACACACCUGAGCUCUAAGAAAAAUGUGAUUGUGACAUGCUUUACAUUCAAUAUCUUCACAUGUGCCUACUGCAGAGAAAAAGAAGAAUGCUCUAAUACAAUUUUUCAUUCUUUAGAAAACAUAAGCUCCACAAAUUAAAUAAAUUACCCAGGGUAACCCAGCUAGUAAGAGGCAGAAGUAGGUGUAAAAUGUAGGACUUUUGACUACCAGUAUGUUUUGUCCCCACUAAUCUAUAUUGUUUUGUUGUUGCUUAUCUUUGUGUUAUCACUUUCUUAUUAGUAGUAAAAUUAAUUAAGUUUUGUAGAUAGAGGAGAGAUCGUAUUAUAAAUUUCAGAUUUUUAUAUUUUUAAAAAUUAUAUAUGUAGAAAUGCAAAUAAGCAAAAACAAAACAAAACCCUCAAAUACCAGAAAAUGAACAAAGCAAACACCAUUUACCUGCUGCUUGGUAUCUUAACACUGUAUAUAUUUGGAAUCUUCCUCUAUAUUUUUAUAUACAUAGACAAAUUUACAUAUGCAUAAAUGUAUAUGUACUUUUACAAAAAUAUUGUGUAACUUUUAAUUUAUUACAUAGGAUUUUAAAAUCAUUGUCUCAUUUUAUUUUUUUAACAACACUAUCUGGUACUACUUAGUGUAAGAGUCUUAAAGUCCCUAGGAUGUGAUCUGGAGACAAGAAAAUCUUCAUUGGAUUGCAAGUUUUUUAUGUUACAUUGUGGAUGGCAGAGGUAUUUAACUUUAAUAAUAACUAAUAUUGGAGGUAGCUAGGAUUUAUUGAAUAUUAUUUUCAUUUAUUACAGGGAAGGAAAUUAUUUUCUAGAUUAAAAAAAUAGACUAAGAAGAUCCUACUAUUCCCUUUGACCCAUCCUCUGCUCUAAAUGAUAAUAGAGAAAAUACUCUUUGAAUAACAAUAGAUCAAAGUGGUUCACAACAGAACAGAGUGUAUACCAUUUAAUGAGUGCAGCACAAAUCAGAAUACCAUUAAAUAGGAGAAUUCUUGAGAACAUGGAUUUAAAUUUUCCCUCCCAUAAUCUUCUGGUAAAAUAAACUAAAUGAAUG
This 11102-nucleotide long non-coding RNA is filed under the name Marmota monax (woodchuck). Lineage: Eukaryota; Metazoa; Chordata; Mammalia; Rodentia; Sciuridae. The record is from RNAcentral.